This 505-nucleotide ribosomal RNA is filed under the name uncultured bacterium. Its description in RNAcentral is "bacterial SSU rRNA". It matches the Rfam family "Bacterial small subunit ribosomal RNA", at positions 501 to 1008 of the family's 1533-position model. The record is from RNAcentral.
CUACGUGCCAGCAGCCGCGGUAAUACGGAAGGUCCAGGCGUUAUCCGGAUUUAUUGGGUUUAAAGGGUGCGUAGGCCGUUUGAUAAGCGUGCUGUGAAAUAUAGUGGCUCAACCUCUAUCGUGCAGCGCGAACUGUUGAACUUGAGUGCGUAGUAGGUAGGCGGAAUUCGUGGUGUAGCGGUGAAAUGCUUAGAUAUCAUGAAGAACUCCGAUUGCGAAGGCAGCAUACGGGAGUGUAACUGACGCUUAAGCUCGAAGGUGCGGGUAUCGAACAGGAUUAGAUACCCUGGUAGUCCGCACAGUAAACGAUGGAUGCCCGCUGUUAGCGCCUGGCGUUAGCGGCUAAGCGAAAGCAUUAAGCAUCCCACCUGGGGAGUACGCCGGCAACGGUGAAACUCAAAGGAAUUGACGGGGGCCCGCACAAGCGGAGGAACAUGUGGUUUAAUUCGAUGAUACGCGAGGAACCUUACCCGGGCUUGAAUUGCAGAGGAAUUAUUUAGAGAUA